RNAcentral lists this ribosomal RNA (1470 nucleotides) under Triticum aestivum (bread wheat). Its description in RNAcentral is "partial small subunit ribosomal RNA". The record is from RNAcentral. Lineage: Eukaryota; Viridiplantae; Streptophyta; Magnoliopsida; Poales; Poaceae.
AUGUUUUGCUACCUUUGUAGAUCUGCGUUGUACUCCUUGACCGGCUAUGGCUUUUAUGAAGUCAGACUCAUUUCAAGCCUUCCGUCUAAAACAGAACUUAGACAGCUUUGGCACUCUGAACUGCUGAUCAAGAUGCCAGCACUGAGAAUGAAGAGGAAGUUUGAUGAUGACAUUUUCGCGAAUGAGUUUGACACCAAAUCCAUGAAAUCGAUGAAAAUCUUGAAUUUUCAAGUUGAUGAGUUCGAGCAGGCAUUUGUGUUGAACUCGUCUUACAAGGACCGUCAGGAUGAGCCUGAGUCGACAACUCAACUAGCUGGCCAGGAUAUUAGGGUUACAGAAUUUUCUGGCUUGCAUGCUGUACUUGGAGGAACAUCCGUUGCUCUGCUGAAGGAUUUAAUAUCUGAAACUGUUGUUCCACCAAAUUUGGAGCCUGAUUCCUUAUCUAAUAAUGAUGACGGCAAAUCUCAGUCAAAUGUAGUGAACACCGGUGAUAAAGAGUUUGCAGAUGAAGAUGUAAAUUCUGCAGCACAGGAUAUCUGUGCUGUCAAUAAUCAUGAGAAAAGCCUGGGCUCAAACCUGGAUUGCAGCCUGUUGGAUAUUUAUAAUCCUGAUGAUGCUUUUCCUUUCUUAUUUGAUGUUCCAACUGGUCUCCUGGCUAGUUACAGUACAUUUUGUGAUGAAUUUGUACCCAUUGAUUCAUUGAUAGACAUGAGUGGCAUAUGCGGAGUAUUUCCACUUAAUGAAAGCACCGUGGAAGGUGGCAUUGGCAAUGAACCAUGCCCAUCACCAGGGGAUAUGUGCUUUAAUAACUCUGGUGGGGAGUGCUUUAGCCAUUCUGAGGUUUUAGACUGGCUUAAUCCAUAUAUGGAUGAGGAGGAUUUACCUAAUCUUAUUGAUUAUACCGAGUUGAGCUCAAAUGCUGCUUGUGUAUCUAAAGAGCAAGGGGCCAGGAAGGUCACUCUUGUGCUUGAUUUGGAUGAAACCCUUGUUCAUUCAACUAUGGAGCACUGUGAUGAUGCAGAUUUUUCUUUUCCAGUGUCCUUUGGUAUGAAAGAACAUCUGGUAUAUGUGAGGAAGAGACCACAUUUGCAUAUGUUCCUCCAGAAGAUGGCUGAGAUGUUUGAUGUUGUUAUAUUCACAGCAAGCCAAAGUGUUUAUGCAGACCAGCUGCUUGACAGGCUCGAUCCAGAGAACACAUUGUUCUCGAAGCGUUUUUUCCGUGAGUCAUGUGUAUUUACGGAAAGUGGCUACACAAAAGAUCUGACUGUUAUUGGAGUUGACCUUGCAAAGGUUGCCAUAAUUGACAACACUCCGCAGGUUUUCCAGUUGCAAGUGAAUAAUGGUAUACCCAUAGAGAGCUGGUAUAACAACCCCUUUGAUGAGGGGUUACCUCAGCUGAUUCCAUUCCUGGAGACGCUUGCUGUUGCUGAUGACGUCCGACCCAUAAUUGCCAAGAGGUUUGGCAACUAA